CGGGCCGUAGCGCAGUCUGGGAGCGCGCUUGCAUGGGGUGCAAGAGGUCCCGAGUUCGAUCCUCGGCGGCCCGACCA
RNAcentral lists this transfer RNA (77 nucleotides) under Verrucomicrobia bacterium CAG:312_58_20. Its description in RNAcentral is "tRNA-Pro". The record is from RNAcentral. RNAcentral also lists the same sequence under 2 other names. Lineage: Bacteria; Pseudomonadati; Verrucomicrobiota.